GGGCUCGCGGCCUAUCAGCUAGUUGGUGAGGUAACGGCCCACCAAGGCGACGACGGGUAGCCGACCUGAGAGGGUGACCGGCCACACUGGGACUGAGACACGGCCCAGACUCCUACGGGAGGCAGCAAGCGGGAAUAUUGCACAAUGGGCGCAAGCCUGAUGCAGCGACGCCGCGUGAGGGAUGAAGGCCUUCGGGUCGUAAACCUCUGUUGAUGGGGACGCUGACGGUACCCAUCAGGAAGCCCCGGCUAACUCCGUGCCAGCAGCCGCGGUAAUACGGAGGGGGCAAGCGUUGUCCGGAUUUACUGGGCGUAAAGAGCGCGUAGGUGGUCCAUUAAGUCGGCUGUGAAAUCGCUGGGCUUAACCCAGCAAUGUCAGUCGAUACUGGUGGACUCGAGUCCGGGAGAGGGAAGUGGAAUUGCUGGUGUAGCGGUGGAAUGCGUAGAU
RNAcentral lists this ribosomal RNA (447 nucleotides) under uncultured bacterium. RNAcentral describes it as "bacterial SSU rRNA". It matches the Rfam family "Bacterial small subunit ribosomal RNA", at positions 227 to 695 of the family's 1533-position model. The record is from RNAcentral.